AUACCUUUCUCGGCCUUUUGGC
This 22-nucleotide non-coding RNA is filed under the name Arabidopsis thaliana (thale cress). The record is from RNAcentral. Lineage: Eukaryota; Viridiplantae; Streptophyta; Magnoliopsida; Brassicales; Brassicaceae.